GCGGAAGGUGAGCUCCAGCGCGGCGCCUGGCGGGCCCAGGGCCCAGCUGCAGUUCCGGUCCGGCCCGUACUCGUCCGGGAAGUCCGGGGAGUAGAUGACGCCCUGAGGCGCUGUCCAGUUCCCCUGGCAGGAGCCCACCGACACUGCGGGCGGGGCCGGCAGUCAGCAUCCUGAGGACCAGGACACGGCGGCUCCCCUGCCCGGCCAGGCCCCACCUCGAGGCCCGCCCAGGCCCCUGGUCCCCGCCCACUCCUCACCUUCAUAGACGCCCAGCCGCCCAUCGCCGCCACACAGCUGUCCAGGGUGGCCGAAACAGAUCUGGUCACAGUCGGUGGCGGGGGCCAGGCGUCCCCGGGCCAGGUCGCUUUCAGAGCCACAGAAGCAGGCGUAACCGGCCUCCACGCCCGCCAGCUGGGAGCACAGACUGGGUGACCCCAGGGCAGGGGCUGGGGUAGGGGUGAAGUGGUGGGGGCCUGGGGUCGGGGUGGGAAUCGGGCUGGAGGUUCAGAAACCGGUGUCUGGGUUUGGCAACCGAGUGUUGGGAGUUGAGUGUGGUCUUUAGGUCCAGGUCAGGGGUCACUGGUCUGGGCCCGUGAGCAGUACCUGGUACCCCUUCAUGCGGCAGAAGCGUAGGCACACCUGGACCGUGAGCUUCGUGGAGGUGCCGCUGGGGCCGCUGAGGGCUGGGGGUGCCCCUGAGUCCACAAAGCAUCCCAGGUAGCCUGGCACUGAGGGGGCAGAGUCAGACUUCCGUGACUCCGAAAACAACCCUCCUCCCAGAUGCAGCAGCGUUCCCACCUCUGUCCAGCCGCGCUACUCACUGUGACAGGAGGGGAUGUCGCAGUAGCGCCAGUAGAUGCCCUCCUCUGUCUCAGCCACGUAGCACCACGGCUGCACGUCACCGUCUGGGUUACUGCGGGUGGGAGGGAGGUGGUGGGGCUCCCACCACCCCAAGAAUAGCAAACCCAGGCCCGGCCCCGCAGCCUAUGCUCAAAGUGGCCUUCAAGGCUCUGUGCCUGUGAGCGGCUGUGCUGCCUGCUGUACACCCACAAAUUCCAGUUUUGUCUACGCAGAACUCUGCCUGAUGAAGGAACUGGACGUCGACUUCCGAGUGGACAGCGGGAAGUCAUUAAAGGGGACUUGAGAGCUGUUUUUAGGCUUCAGCUGUUGCUAGACUUGACUCCAUAUAUGAGGACUUUGAGGCCAUCUGUAUUCUUCACCCCCACCCGGCAUGGGCCUCAGCCACUUCCGUCCCUCAAACCCCACUUUUUUUUUUUUUUUUUGAGACGAGUCUCGCUCUGUCACCCAGGCUAGAGUGCAUUGGCGCGAUCUCUGCUCACUGCAAGCUCCGCCUCCCGGGUUCAAGCGAUUCUCCUGCCUCAGCCUCCUGAGUAGCUGGGAUUACAGGCGCCCGCCACCAUGCCCCGCUAAUUUUUUGUAUUUUUAGUAGAAAUGGGGUUUCACCAUGGUAGCCAGGCUGGUCUCGAACUCCUGACCUCAGAUGAUCCGCCUGCCUUGGCCUCCCAAAGUGCUGGGAUUACAGGCUGAGCCACCGCGCCUGGCCUCCAACCCCACUUAAAAGCAGAAGUGAGCUCCUGAGCUUUGCGGCUCUCCUCCCGCUGGGUCCAUCCUGCCUCAGACCGUAGCUGUGGCUCUGAACCCCAAAAUAAGUUGUAUGACAAGAGCCCCACUCUGACAAGGCCCCG
RNAcentral lists this long non-coding RNA (1706 nucleotides) under Homo sapiens (human). The record is from RNAcentral. Lineage: Eukaryota; Metazoa; Chordata; Mammalia; Primates; Hominidae.